This 492-nucleotide ribosomal RNA is filed under the name uncultured bacterium. RNAcentral describes it as "partial 16S ribosomal RNA". It matches the Rfam family "Bacterial small subunit ribosomal RNA", at positions 29 to 507 of the family's 1533-position model. The record is from RNAcentral.
AGUGAACGCUGGCGGUAGGCCUAACACAUGCAAGUCGAACGGCAGCACAGUAAGAGCUUGCUCUUACGGGUGGCGAGUGGCGGACGGGUGAGGAAUACAUCGGAAUCUACUUUUUCGUGGGGGAUAACGUAGGGAAACUUACGCUAAUACCGCAUACGACCUACGGGUGAAUGCAGGGGAUCUUCGGACCUUGCGCGAUUGAAUGAGCCGAUGUCGGAUUAGCUAGUUGGCGGGGUAAAGGCCCACCAAGGCGACGAUCCGUAGCUGGUCUGAGAGGAUGAUCAGCCACACUGGAACUGAGACACGGUCCAGACUCCUACGGGAGGCAGCAGUGGGGGAUAUUGGACAAUGGGCGCAAGCCUGAUCCAGCCAUACCGCGUGGGUGAAGAAGGCCUUCGGGUUGUAAAGCCCUUUUGUUGGGAAAGAAAAGCAGCAGGUUAAUACCCCGCUGUUCUGACGGUACCCAAAGAAUAAGCACCGGCUAACUUCGUG